GUGCCCAAGGUUCUGUGGGUUCUGGGGAUCCAAACAUAUAGGUCCUGGUAUUCCUGCAACGAACACUUUGCUCACUAAGACAACUCCCCAGCCCAAAUCUGAACUUGAAGACGGGGAAGAAAACUCAGAGGCAAGCCAGGACCGAAAGAGGGACCAAAUGUGAUAAUAAACACUCCAGCAGCCAUGGAGGCUCACACCUAUAAUCCCGGCAUUCAGGAGGCUGAGGCUGGAGGAUCGCCAUGAGUUCAAGGCCAAUCUGGGCUAUAGGGUCCUCAAUCAAACGUGAGACAAGGGGCCCUGGCUCCUUCGUUAAGGGAAAGCAAGAGUGGCCCUAAUGAGUCACUCUACACCAAAAGUUGUCAAAUCCAUCAUCCCUGUUCUAUUUUCUGAAAGUGAUUAAAUACCACUUUCUCCGC
This is a long non-coding RNA of Peromyscus eremicus (cactus mouse), 416 nucleotides long. RefSeq lists it as uncharacterized. The transcript has 3 exons. The record is from RefSeq and is a predicted model, not a curated record. Lineage: Eukaryota; Metazoa; Chordata; Mammalia; Rodentia; Cricetidae.